GAUGAACGCUGGCGGCGUGCCUAAUACAUGCAAGUCGAGCGAACGGACGAGAAGCUUGCUUCUCUGAUGUUAGCGGCGGACGGGUGAGUAACACGUGGAUAACCUACCUAUAAGACUGGGAUAACUUCGGGAAACCGUAGCUAAUACCGGAUAAUAUUUUGAACCGCAUGGUUCAAAAGUGAAAGACGGUCUUGCGGUCACUUAUAGAUGGAUCCGCGCUGCAUUAGCUAGUUGGUAAGGUAACGGCUUACCAAGGCAACGAUGCAUAGCCGACCUGAGAGGGUGAUCGGCCACACUGGAACGGAGACACGGUCCAGACUCCUACGGGAGGCAGCAGUAGGGAAUCUUCCGCAAUGGGCGAAAGCCUGACGGAGCAACGCCGCGUGAGUGAUGAAGGUCUUCGGAUCGUAAAACUCUGUUAUUAGGGAAGAACAUAUGUGUAAGUAACUGUGCACAUCUUGACGGUACCUAAUCAGAAAGCCACGGCUAACUACGUG
Molecule: ribosomal RNA, 497 nt
Filed under: uncultured bacterium
Lineage: Bacteria
Description: partial 16S ribosomal RNA
Rfam family: Bacterial small subunit ribosomal RNA
Source: RNAcentral